Molecule: long non-coding RNA, 2113 nt
Organism: Prionailurus viverrinus (fishing cat)
Lineage: Eukaryota; Metazoa; Chordata; Mammalia; Carnivora; Felidae
Exons: 3
Source: RefSeq, a predicted model, not a curated record
CUUGGCCCGGGCUUCCAGCCUCUUCUGUUUUCCAGCCAGACCCAGAAAAACGAAAACACAGCUCGGGGAGCCCCCACCAGCCGGGGCCUGUGCCAGCUCACCUCUGGCCAUGGCGCAGCUGCUGGUGCACACAGCGGCCAAGGCCGGCUCCACAUUCCUCCCUCCCUCUCCCCACUUCACCGGAGACCGAGCCCUGCAUGCAGAGGAAGGGCCCCAGCUCCACGGACUGCCAAGGUCGACUGGGUCCCUCCUCACCAAAAAUGGUGAGACAAGAUUUCAUCUUGUCUGCAGAGAAGCCACAAGCAGAUGAGGAAACCGAGGCACAGAAUGAGUGAGUGACUUCUGCGAGGUCCCACAGCUGGGUGGCAGAGGCCAGGAUCUGUGCGACUCGAUCGAUCGGUUACUCUGUGCCAGGUCCUCAGGCGAGCUUGUGCCUUAAGUCCAGGUCCCGCGGCACCGUUGCUCAGGGUAGGGGACUAGAGUGUGAAGGUCGGCGGGAGACAGUGAAGACACCGGUGGACGGAUGGACGGACCCUGCCGGGAGGACAGGCGGGGCCGGGCAAGCGACCGCGAGAAUGAACCUGAAGCCCCAGAGACGGCGGCGGGGACCCCGCGAGCCGGGAGGAGGCGUGGCGAGGCCUCCUCCGGGCCGAUCGCGUCCCCGGAGCUCGCUCGGCCCGCCCGGCCUCCUCGGCCUCCUCGCCCAGGGCCUCGGCAGCCCGCGUGGCGGCCAAGUCGAAAUGGGGCAGUGACCCACCCUCUUCUCUUCCUGUUCUGCUCCGGAGAAGAACGGAGGCUCCGGGCUCUGCGACAUAACCGACCGCGGGACCGGGGCAGAGGCGUGAACUUGUAAUCUGCUAAGAAAGGUUAAUAGUGACAACAGUAACAGUACUCUAGGCGUUUGCUUGCCCCACGCGAUCGGAUCGAAUGCGAUCAUUCAUUCGAUAAACACUCAUGUGAUAUCCACCUACUACAUGACAGGCUCCGCACUAGGCUCUUUCAUUCUAAAAUAUUUCUCUUUAUUCGUGUCUUUUUGGAUAAGUUUUGUUGUAAUAUUAUGUACCCCAAAGUGGCUAAAAUCCACAAAGUAUCACAAAGUGAACACACCUGUGACAUCAGCAACAGCUCAAGAAGCAGAACACAGGAUCUCACUACCCCGCCAAGGGGAGCCGCUACCCUGACAUCAAACAGCCACAAAUUGUUCUUUUCAUUCAACAAAUAAAUGAUGCCGGAAGGGCAUUGUACACGACCAGUGGAGUGCUAUUAAUAAGAGGCUCCAUUCCCUAAGUUAGUUGCCGUUGAGCCAGAACAGGAUUUGUGGGAGUGCUUGCUUUUCCUGGAUCUUUUCAAGGGACUGAAAACCUGGGUUCUCACGCCCACCCCUUCCCAGACCACGUAGGCACCUCCUGUGAUCCCUGGGGUCCCUUGGUGGAAUGAAACCUUUCCCUCUGAGGACCCUUCCUUCUGCGACUAAUGAGGGUGGUUAAAUAUUAUUCAGAAAUACUAGGACAGAUUGGAAGCAUGGCUGAUUGCAGUAUUUAUUAUUACUAAAACCAAUGUUCUUCACGAAUUUAGAAUAAUAACAACACAUGUUUGAAAGUGAAUGUCUCCACUCUGAGGCUCCGCAUACAUGUGGGGCCUGGGAUUCAUCACAAAACCUCACAGAGGUUCUAUGACUUUAAAUAAGAAUUGGAGGCUUCUUUAGAAAUCUUCAGAGAAGAGUGUUUCUGCCUGUAGCAGCAGAUUCUUCCUACUGAGCAGAACCUCACGUUCCACGGGAUGGUAGACUAGAAUGGCCCACCUUCAUUGUUACCAUGAGUUCCAACCUACAAACUGUUAACAGUGGGAGGCACGGAUCUUAAGGAGUUUUUCCCCUGCAUGUUCAUUUCCUGCCAGACGGGGUGAUGGGGGAGGGUCCAACCUGUUUUCCUGAGCUGCCUGGCCUGGGGAUGCCUUAGGACAGUGCCCAGGAAAAUCUCUUCAAACAUUAGAAAUCUUUAUCUAUAGAACUGCGAUGGGGCGCCUGGGUGGCUCAGUCGGUUAAGCGUCCGACUUCGGCUCAGGUCACGAUCUCGCGGUCCGUGAGUUCGAGCCCCGCGUCGGGCUCUGUGCU